AUUUUAAUUUUUUUAGCAAUUGGUUCCCCUUUCAAGCCAUGGAAAGCUACCAAUACUCAGCUGUGGAGCGUAACAACCUGAUGAGGCUGUCUCAGAGCAUCCCCUUCACCCAGUGCCCCCUAGAGGUGAGCCAGUAAAGUGUAUCGUCUGGAGGAGAGUUCUCCCAACACCAUCACAACAGCAUUCCUCCUGGGCUCACAAAGGUCUCUGUGCCAAGAUAGAGUUCCUCAGUAAGGAGGAGAUUGGGAGGGGGCUGCGACGUGCACUCAAGGUGCUGUGUACGUGGUCGGAGUAUGACAUUCUGAAGCCAGGUCACCUGUAUAUCGUUAAGUCCUUCCUACCAGAGGUGGUCAGACUGGCAGAGCAUCUACAAGGAGGACACUGUACUGCUGCUCUGCCUCAGGGUAAGAGGAGAACACACUCUCACACACACUGC
Non-coding RNA from Salvelinus sp. IW2-2015, 436 nucleotides. The record is from RefSeq and is a predicted model, not a curated record. Lineage: Eukaryota; Metazoa; Chordata; Actinopteri; Salmoniformes; Salmonidae.